GACGAACGCUGGCGGCGUGCUUAACACAUGCAAGUCGAACGCUAAGGCCCUGCUUUUCUCGUCUGCUCGAGUUGCGAACGGGUGAGUAACACGUAGGUAACCUGCCCUUUACUUUGGGAUAACUUCAGGAAACUGUAGCUAAUACCGGAUAGGAGCUCCUGCUGCAUGGUGUUUGUUUAAAAGUUUCGGCGGUUCGGGUUGGACUCGCGGCUUCUCAGCUUUUGGGUGGGGUAGUGGAGUACAAAGGCCAUGGCGAGUAGCCGGACUGAGAGGGUGACCGGCCACAGAGGGACAGAGGAAGGGGCAGGACGGCAACGGGAGGAAGGGGUGGGAAAUAGAGCAAAAAGGGCGGAAGGAGGAUGGAGCAACGCCGCGUGGGGGAGGACGGCUGUAAGAGUGGAAAGCGCGUUAGAGUGGGAAGAAGAGUGAGUGACGGUAAUGGGUAAAGAAGCAACGGCUAACUACGUG
RNAcentral lists this ribosomal RNA (468 nucleotides) under uncultured bacterium. RNAcentral describes it as "partial 16S ribosomal RNA". It matches the Rfam family "Bacterial small subunit ribosomal RNA", at positions 28 to 507 of the family's 1533-position model. The record is from RNAcentral.